Rattus norvegicus (Norway rat) is the source of this 3639-nucleotide long non-coding RNA. RefSeq lists it as uncharacterized. The record is from RefSeq and is a predicted model, not a curated record. NCBI's taxonomy places the organism in Eukaryota, Metazoa, Chordata, Mammalia, Rodentia, Muridae.
GCUGCAGAAAGUAGAUCAGAAAAACUGUGAGAAAGCCACUGAGAUGCUGCCCAGCUGAAGCAGAAGGUAGCGGUCUCUUCGCAUCCCUUUACAUUUUGGGUCUCGCCUGGAAAGGAAAAGGACCAAAGGCAAUCCACGCAAUGAAGACUUGGAAUCCUAGGCGCCUACUGAACAUGACGACGCGCCGGGAGUGGUGUGCACUGUCGCAAAGCUCCUGCACCCGAUGAGCCAGAAGGAGAAAAAGGAGGAGGAGGAGGAAGAGGAAGAAGAGGAAGAGGAAGAAGAGGAGGAGGAGGAGGAGGACAACAACAAGAAUACAGUGAAUCCCACUGAGAUUUGUUCCUUCCUUCCUAACUACUGAGGACCAGAUGUCUGCAGUGUCUGAUAGUGUCUUAUCGUCUAGCCCUUGUUCAACAAACCAUCUCUUUCCUUUGUCACCGGAGUCUUUUACCCCCAUGUUCACACUAAAAUAUAGUCAGUGUCUCCAUAUAAGGAAAAAGCGAAACAGAGACCAAGAACCCACUAUUAUACACAGGCCUUUGCAACAUGGCCCCAGUGUAUCUUUCAAAACCCACCUUCUAGCUGGUACUCCUGUCUGCAGACCCGGUUCUUCAGCAUCAACAACUGGUUUCCUCAUUUGUAUAGCAAUGGCUCACACCAUGUCAACAUUCCAUACAAAUGUCCUUUCAUGAAAACUACAUUAUCCUUUCAAUAUAUGAAUAUGAAAUCAAGGCAGUUGACUUCUACACUCACAGCUCUGCUGAUGUUAUGCUAUAAAGACUACAGACUGUCUGCUCUAAGUGACAAGGAACAGGACACAGCAUGUAACCCUGCAUGCACUUCUGCUGCCGCACGUCGAAGACUCCAACCGAUCUCUGGGAGGUUAUCUCCGUGCCUAGCUUUCUUAUCGGUAAAACAGUAUGUGGUCUACAUAGUGGGAAUCUCUGAGGAACCAAAAGAAUCCAGAUACCUCCAAUGCCAUAACAAGGCAUUCUACCAACAGAACGGAGACAACCGGAAUCAGACACUCGGCACUCAUGAUGGGAAGACAAACUCCAACUGUGUGACACUGUGGUAGGAACUGGAUAAAAAUAGGUCACAGAGGAAGGCCAUGAUUCAAUGCAAAAGGAGCUCAGCGAAAGGAGUAAAAGAGAAAUAAUAAAAGGAGAUCGGGAAGCAUGACAGCAGUCCAUGGAGGAGCCCCCCUCAACAGGUGAUGCCAACAGCGUCCCUCACCACACCCUACCUGCACACCAACAGCGUCCCUCACUACACCCUACCUGCACACCGGAGUUUCAGAGCUUGGCAGGCUAGAUUAUGACGUCAUCCUGACACUGGGAACACCAGCAGGGCAGUAGUUGUAGACAGACUGAUUCUGAGAGAUGUGUCUGACACCAAGACAAACAAGAUGGGAAGAAGUAGAGCAGUUAGCGUUCGGAGAAAUGGACGAGCACCGUGGCCUGCAGGAAAACAGGAACUGCGGUGGUCACUAAGGCUAACCAGAUGCACUAUUAGAAUACGGGUGAACUGAGUGUGGGGAGGGGAGCCAUGAAAGCAGGGACCUGUGACUGCUGAGACUCUAACCAGAUACAUUAAUUAACAGACUAUGGUGAUGAUUAAACAACCUGCUGGUAAUGAAGACAGAUGCGUAGGCUGACGGGCUGAGACUCCACAUCAAACACCAGACUAUAGGCUGCACAACAGAAUUAGUGCACAAGUCAUUAAAGUCGCUAAGACACACAUAUCUAAUACACAGUGAAGGGCAAGGAAGCAGGCAAGUGAAGAAUACUCAGCAGGGAACACACACUCACUUUCCUUGCAGACCAACUGAGACCCAACUCAAAUAUGGAACCCGAGCUUCACAUAUCAUGAACUUUGAUGUGGUCAAACCCAACAUUUUAUAGACGAAUAUUACAUGGCUACUCAAAACCGUGCUCAUCUUCUCCAGGCUUUUCUCAAGGCACCAUCUCUCCAGUCCCACUGCAUCCAGACUGCACCUCCUCAAAACGACAGCCGUGUUCCCAAGACAACUGAAUCAGGGUCUUUCUGAAGUAAAAAGCCUCGAGUCGAGUACCUCUAGGAACUGAACAUGUGUUGCCCAUAUCUGAUUCUGUAAGUUCAUUGAGGCAGAUGAUGAAUUACUAUCUGAGACACUUCUGAGAAGGAAAUAAUGCUCAAGUCAGACCUUCUGCCAGGCAGGGUAGUGCAUGCCUUUAAUCCAGCACUGGGGAGGCAGAGGUAGUUACUCAGUCUGAGGCCAGCCUGUCUGCAAAGCAAGCUCAAGGACAUCCAGCAGGGCUAAUACCUGGGCAGGCUUCUGUUCAUGCCGAUUUUUAGGAGGUUAGAAAAAGGCAUACAUUCUAGUGAGACGCUUUUAGACCGCAGAUAAAAAAACUAUCUGAGCAAUUUAUGGGUUAGAUUUGAAAGGCCUUUAUUCUCUCUCUCUCUGUGUGUGUGUGUGUGUGUGUGUGUGUGUGUGUGUGUGUGUGUGUGUGUGUUUCAUAUGUACUAUAGUAAAAUAUUAAAAUAUAGAAUGUGCCCUUUCAAACUGGUCUGUAUUAGUCCCAGUUGCUUUUUUAAGAAAGACUAUCCUACACAAUACACAGUCCAGUGAAUGAAAUCCCAUAGGCAUUCAAGUGUUUAAUGAAACUGUAUAAUUCUGUAUAUGGAAUGAAGCACAAACUCUGACCUAGUGGUGCUCACAUCAGGAGAUGUGGACGGACAGAAUAACAGACAUAAGAAAAUGCUUAUGUGGGUACAUUGCAAGCAUGCAGACCCAAGUGUGGAUCCUAAGCACUACGUGUGAGCACAUGUGUUUUUAACUCAGUACUGUGGUUGUAGAUGGGGCACCCUGGGGAAGCACUGACAUCCAGUAACGAGCAGCCUAGGUUCAACGAGAGAUCCCUCUUAAAAGGCAAGGAGGAAAAGCAACUGAGGACGGCAACCUAAACACCAGCCUUUGGCCUCCACAGUGCCUACACAGGAAGUACACCUGCAUGCACACAGAUCACAAACAUGCACAUGAAUAUCUCAUACAUACACACACACACAGACACAUGCACAUGGAUGUCACACAUACUCGCAGAUACACGCCCCUCACAGACACAUGCACAUUUCAGACACAGCUGACACAGACACACAGGCACACAAGACAUACACACCUCACAGACACACACAGACAUGCACACCUCACACCUAAGAUACACAAACAUACACAACCCUGAUACAGACACAAACUUCACACACAUGCAUACACCCUUCUCCUCACAUACAUACACAAGCUUCACAGACACACACACACAUUUCAUACACAAACAUAUACCAGAAGACAGAAGGAAAACACUGCACUCCUGCUCCCCCCCCCCCCCCGCUCUGAAAAUGUUCUCACCAGGAGAUGCUGAUGCUGACCGGCACCUUUCUCUAAGGAAAGAAAAAGUAAUUGAGAAGCACCACAUCUGUGACCUAGUAUAAAACCAACUCUACACACAGCGAAGCGGGCCUCGGAGAAGCUAACCCACAGACUAACACCUUUUGCCAGUAUAAGCAAGCACCCACCAUGUCAGUUUGUGGUUUCUGGUUCAUCACAGGUAUAUGCAAUUCCACCCAAGAAAGAAAGGUUUGUUCCCUUAGGGUUUUAAA